Molecule: long non-coding RNA, 809 nt
Filed under: Chrysemys picta bellii (western painted turtle)
Lineage: Eukaryota; Metazoa; Chordata; Testudines; Emydidae
Description: lncRNA (ENSCPBG00000004375.1)
Source: RNAcentral
AAUGCUAGAAUGAAGGUUGUCUGUGCAGUGCUAUUCAUUGUUGGGUAAAUGGGAAUGCAGAGAUACGAGAGCGAUUGGUCGUGUACAGUGCGUGUAUAGCUAGAUGGAUGGAAGGAUAGAUAAGCAGAUGAAUGGAUAGAUAAGCAGAGGGCGAGGUGGAGGAAUAGGUGUGUAGAUAAGCAGAUAGACAGUUGUAGAUGGAUAGAGUGAAAGUUAUGUAGGUGAACAGAGAGAUAGGUAGACAGUUGUAAAGGCAAUUUGACCUGACUAUAGAAACUAGGGGAAGGAACUUCUGUAGUUGCCUUUCCACUCCUAACAAACCACAAGCUCCUACAAAUAAAAAUCAAUUAUUCUUGAAGCAGCAUCACUGUGCUUAGCACAUAGAAACACUGUGAAGCAGUACCACUUCUGAGCACUAUGUCUAGAAUUCUGGUUCCUUUGGGGCAUUAAUGGGAUGGUAUUUGGAGCUGCUGCCAAAACAUCUCCUACCUGUAUGUACCCUGUUUUCUGCAGUCUCCUCUCUCCAGAUGUCUGACUUAGCUCCUCUAUGACAAACUCCAACAGAAGGCAAUGAUUAAGAGGGCCUGACGUGGAGACGCGGACAGAAGAAUUUCUCUCGGGUUUCUAGAUUCGAUUCGGGCACUUGUCCCAAAUACUAAUUGUACCAGCUGUGGUGGAUUUUUGAAGGAAGGAACGUUUCGUUACAAAACUGUUUCAUUGCUGAAGGUAAACAGAACUGUUGACAUGUUCAUAUUAGCUGACAUUAAACAAAGGCAGAUGCUUCCGGGCAAUCCUUGUGGCAAGUGCCA